UACGGAGGUGGCAAGCGUUGUUCGGAAUUACUGGGCGUAAAGGGCGCGUAGGCGGCAAGGCAAGUCAGGUGUGAAAGCCCCGAGCUUAACUCGGGAAUUGCAUCUGAAACUGAUCGGCUUGAAGGUGGGAGAGAGUAGUGGAAUUCCCGGUGUAGUGGUGAAAUGCGUAGAUAUCGGGAGGAACACCAGCGGCGAAGGCGACUACUUGGCCCAUUCUUGACGCUGAGGCGCGAAAGCUAGGGGAGCAAACGGG
Molecule: ribosomal RNA, 253 nt
Filed under: uncultured bacterium
Lineage: Bacteria
Description: partial 16S ribosomal RNA
Rfam family: Bacterial small subunit ribosomal RNA
Source: RNAcentral